RNAcentral lists this ribosomal RNA (207 nucleotides) under uncultured bacterium. RNAcentral describes it as "partial 16S ribosomal RNA". It matches the Rfam family "Bacterial small subunit ribosomal RNA", at positions 568 to 774 of the family's 1533-position model. The record is from RNAcentral.
UGCGUAGGCGGUUAUCUAAGUCAGGUGUGAAAUCUCUCGGCUCAACCGAGAAACUGCGCUUGAAACUGGGUGACUGGAGGAAUGCAGGGGUGUGUGGAACUUCCGGUGGAGCGGUGAAAUGUGUAGAUAUCGGAAGGAACGCCAGCAGCGAAAGCGGCACACUGGGCAUUUACUGACGCUGAGGCACGAAAGCUAGGGGAGUGAACG